This is a long non-coding RNA of Clarias gariepinus (North African catfish), 1153 nucleotides long. RefSeq lists it as uncharacterized. The transcript has 3 exons. Lineage: Eukaryota; Metazoa; Chordata; Actinopteri; Siluriformes; Clariidae. The record is from RefSeq and is a predicted model, not a curated record.
ACAAAUUGAAAUCUGUUAAGUGUUAUUGCAUUAAUUAGUUUUUAUUAGACAUAACGAGUCACACACCUUGAGUAUAGUCCUAUGGUCUCUCACUUAGCAUAUAUAAAGACCAUGCAUUACCAAGUGCAAGAAAAAACAAAAUGAAUAAUAUAACAAUGAAUGUGAAGGACAGCAAAGGAAGAACCUUUACUCUUAAGGUUUCCAAGGAAAUUGCAGAAAGAAUGAAAACUGGUCAUUAAAUUAAAGAACUGGAAUAAAUACAAGUUAACAAUGAUUUGUGUGAUAGUUUUGAGUAUUUCCUCAGAUGCAAAGUUCCUCUCUGAUGUCAUGGCAAAAGUUACAGCCGUUGACACAAAACAAGGUAAACACUUGUGAUGAACAAACACAUACUGGACACAUAAGUGACAACUAAAUUUUCAGCUUUCUCUCUAAACAGCUCCUACAGUAUCAGCGAUCUAGCUGCAGUGUUUCCCCAACCUCCUUCUCCAUGUCCCUCUACCUCCACUGAGUCACCUGUACCCCUAAAUCUCAGUUUUGUAAAACCACCAACCAGCCAGUGCCCUGUGCAACAGACACCCAUUAGCCAGGACCUACCGACUACCACCCUAAAAACCGAUGUGGUGGGUGGUAACCCUUCAGAAGCCAGAAACCCAUCCUCUGUCCAGAUAGACCGCCCUGAAUUACAAGAAAUCACACACAAAAUGACGUUGCUACUUUUGGACCUUACAAAAACUUAUCAGCAACUCUACUUCCGCAACAAAACUGCUUUUUAUAAAAAGCUACAAACUACUUUUUCACAAAAAGGAUACACCUUGUCAAGUGAAAAAAUUAGAAACAAGUUAACCAACAUGUUAACUACUUACAAAAGAGUUAAGGACCGCCGCCGUGCAACUGGGGAGGGAAAGCAAACCUGGGAGUACUACACCCAAAUGGAUGAGCUAUUUGGGUCCUCUGGAAUAGGAACUGCACCACCUGGAACUAUCUGCUCCACUCCUCUAUGUGUGGAAGAUCCACCUUCCCAAAACAGGCCUCCAUCAAUCUCUCUUCCUCAAGCUCAGGCAGCAGGUGCUUCUGUAGACGAGCAGCCGGGGACCUCUGCCAGUAUAAGCAUGUCCAGGAGGCAGAGAUCCUCACAACCCUCACAGUUUUUUGA